This 447-nucleotide ribosomal RNA is filed under the name uncultured bacterium. RNAcentral describes it as "partial 16S ribosomal RNA". It matches the Rfam family "Bacterial small subunit ribosomal RNA", at positions 331 to 793 of the family's 1533-position model. The record is from RNAcentral.
CCAGACUCCUACGGGAGGCAGCAGUGGGGAAUAUUGGGCAAUGGACGCAAGUCUGACCCAGCAACGCCGCGUGAAGGAAGAAGGCUUUCGGGUUGUAAACUUCUUUUAAGGGGGAAGAGGAGAAGACGGUACCCCUUGAAUAAGCCACGGCUAACUACGUGCCAGCAGCCGCGGUAAUACGUAGGGAGCAAGCGUUAUCCGGAUUUAUUGGGUGUAAAGGGUGCGUAGACGGGAAGGCAAGUUGGUUGUGAAAUCCCUCGGCUUAACUGAGGAACUGCAACCAAAACUAUCUUUCUUGAGUGCUGGAGAGGAAAGUGGAAUUCCUAGUGUAGCGGUGAAAUGCGUAGAUAUUAGGAAGAACACCAGUGGCGAAGGCGGCUUUCUGGACUGAAACUGACGCUGAGGCACGAAAGCGUGGGGAGCGAACAGGAUUAGAUACCCCCGUAC